GUUGCCACUAUUUUUCUCGAGUGGGCCAAACCCACUAUCUCUACAUUAUUAAAGAAUGGAGAUCAUAAGGAGAUUGGAGGUAUCCUAUUAUUUUCGAAAAUUGACAUCAGUUGGGGAAUGUUUUUGGUUCCUUUGGGCUUAUCAGUAGAUAUUGAAAAUAAAAGAAACCCCAAUGGACUAAAGGCCAUAUGAGAUAUACAUAAAUGUGGACGUGAAGUAAAGGAAAAAAAGAUAGACUUGGAGUUGGCACUUAAUUGAAGCAAUUGAGGGAAAGCAUAUUGAACGUGAGAGUGGGGACGCAUUAUUAUUAAUUCUCCAGCCAUGUUAAUUCUUGACAACAUCAGAAGUGGGCCGCAAACAUCCAAAAAGGCCACCAUGCUUGCAAAUCCACGAUCAGGGGGUAUUGUCCUGGUGUAAAUGGAGGAAAAAUGAGCAAU
This 437-nucleotide long non-coding RNA is filed under the name Helianthus annuus (common sunflower). RNAcentral describes it as "sRNA HanXRQr2_Chr16g0750501". The record is from RNAcentral. Lineage: Eukaryota; Viridiplantae; Streptophyta; Magnoliopsida; Asterales; Asteraceae.